RNAcentral lists this transfer RNA (82 nucleotides) under uncultured phage_MedDCM-OCT-S30-C28. It matches the Rfam family "tRNA". Rfam says of the family: Transfer RNA (tRNA) molecules are approximately 80 nucleotides in length. Lineage: Duplodnaviria; Heunggongvirae; Uroviricota; Caudoviricetes; Autographivirales. The record is from Rfam by way of RNAcentral.
GGGGCGAUGGUGGAAUUGGUAGACACGCCAGUCUUAGGAACUGGUCUUUUACGAGGUGAAGGUUCGAGUCCUUUUCGCCCUA